This 773-nucleotide ribosomal RNA is filed under the name uncultured bacterium. Its description in RNAcentral is "bacterial SSU rRNA". It matches the Rfam family "Bacterial small subunit ribosomal RNA", at positions 385 to 1174 of the family's 1533-position model. The record is from RNAcentral.
GACCCAGCGACGCCGCGUGAGGGAUGAAGGUCUUCGGAUUGUAAACCUCUUUCAGUAGGGAAGAAGCGAAAGUGACGGUACCUAAAGAAGAAGCACCGGCUAACUAUGUGCCAGCAGCCGCGGUAAUACAUAGGGUGCAAGCGUUGUCCGGAAUUAUUGGGCGUAAAGAGCUCGUAGGUCGUUUGUCGCGUCGAUUGUGAAAAUCUGAGGCUCAACCUCAGACCUGCAGUCGAUACGGGCAAACUAGAGUGUGGUAGGGGAGACUGGAAUUCCUGGUGUAGCGGUGGAAUGCGCAGAUAUCAGGAGGAACACCAAUGGCGAAGGCAGGUCUCUGGGCCAUAACUGACACUGAGGAGCGAAAGUGCGGGGAGCGAACAGGAUUAGAUACCCUGGUAGUCCGCACCGUAAACGGUGGGCACUAGUUGUGGGAACCUUCCACGGUUUCCGCGACGCAGCAAACGCAUUAAGUGCCCCGCCUGGGGAGUACGAUCGCAAGAUUAAAACUCAAAGGAAUUGACGGGGCCCCGCACAAGCAGCGGAGCAUGCGGCUUAAUUCGACGCAACGCGAAGAACCUUACCAAGGCUUGACAUAUAGCGAAAAGUGGCAGAGAUGUCAUGUCCGCAAGGGCGCUAUACAGGUGGUGCAUGGUUGUCGUCAGCUCGUGUCGUGAGAUGUUGGGUUAAGUCCCGCAACGAGCGCAACCCUCGUUCUGUGUUACCAGCAUUAAGUUGGGGACUCACAGGAGACUGCCGGGGUCAACUCGGAGGAAGGU